This 253-nucleotide ribosomal RNA is filed under the name uncultured bacterium. RNAcentral's name for it is "partial 16S ribosomal RNA". It matches the Rfam family "Bacterial small subunit ribosomal RNA", at positions 524 to 776 of the family's 1533-position model. The record is from RNAcentral.
UACGUAGGGGGCAAGCGUUGUCCGGAUUUACUGGGCGUAAAGAGCGUGUAGGCGGCCACGCAGGUCCGUUGUGAAAACUGGAGGCUCAACCUCCAGCUGUCGACGGAAACCGUGUGGCUAGAGUCCGGGAGAGGGGGGUGGAAUUCCCAGUGUAGCGGUGAAAUGCGUAGAUAUUGGGAGGAACACCGGUGGCGAAGGCGGCCCCCUGGACCGGUACUGACGCUGAGGCGCGAAAGCGUGGGUAGCAAACGGG